This 72-nucleotide transfer RNA is filed under the name Nanobdellota archaeon. Its description in RNAcentral is "tRNA-His". It matches the Rfam family "tRNA". Rfam says of the family: Transfer RNA (tRNA) molecules are approximately 80 nucleotides in length. Their secondary structure includes four short double-helical elements and three loops (D, anti-codon, and T loops). Lineage: Archaea; Nanobdellati; Nanobdellota. The record is from RNAcentral.
GCGGCUGUCGUAUAACGGCUAUUAUUCGGGACUGUGGAUCCUGAGAAGGGAGUUCGAUUCUCCCCAGCCGCC